UACAGAGGUCCCAAGCGUUGUUCGGAUUCAUUGGGCGUAAAGGGUGCGUAGGUGGCGCCGUAAGUGGGGGUGUGAAAUUUCGGAGCUUAACUCCGAAACUGCAUUCCAUACUGCGGUGCUUGAGGACUGGAGAGGAGACUGGAAUUCAUGGUGUAGCAGUGAAAUGCGUAGAGAUCAUGAGGAAGACCAGUGGCGAAGGCGGGUCUCUGGACAGUUCCUGACACUGAGGAGCGAAAGCCAGGGGAGCAAACGGG
This 254-nucleotide ribosomal RNA is filed under the name uncultured bacterium. RNAcentral describes it as "partial 16S ribosomal RNA". It matches the Rfam family "Bacterial small subunit ribosomal RNA", at positions 524 to 776 of the family's 1533-position model. The record is from RNAcentral.